GUGAAUUAUAUGCUGUUUUAAGGUAAAAUAAAAACUGGAGGGACACCAGAAGCGAAUAACUGGUUUAGCUUUCUCAAUGAAUCUUAAUAUCCUGGUUUCGUCGGGGGCUGAUGCUCAACCUUGUUCAAUGGGAUUUGCUACUGGUGGAAAAACAUUCUUAAUGUGUGGUGGGUUUUGCUUUUUGCCAUGGUCAUGGAAUCUUGCAUGGGGUCACAUGGGAAAAGGUCGUGAAAAAGAAGCGAAAAAGUUUAAAGCACAGGCAAUAAGUUAUGGGUAGUGUUAUGCCCGUUAAUACCCAACUUUUUUGCAGUCUUUUACACAGUUUUUAUGUGU
Long non-coding RNA from Quercus robur (English oak), 333 nucleotides. RefSeq lists it as uncharacterized. NCBI's taxonomy places the organism in Eukaryota, Viridiplantae, Streptophyta, Magnoliopsida, Fagales, Fagaceae. The record is from RefSeq and is a predicted model, not a curated record. The transcript has 3 exons.